This is a long non-coding RNA of Carlito syrichta (Philippine tarsier), 401 nucleotides long. RefSeq lists it as uncharacterized. Lineage: Eukaryota; Metazoa; Chordata; Mammalia; Primates; Tarsiidae. The transcript has 3 exons. The record is from RefSeq and is a predicted model, not a curated record.
AGGGAAGGAUCGAGUUUUUAAUACUCCAUUAUGCGAACAAGGAAUUGUUGGAUUUGGAAUCGGAAUUGCAGUCACUGGUGCUACUGUCAUUGCAGAAAUUCAGUUUGCAGAUUACAUCUUUCCUGCUUUUGAUCAGAUUGUGAAUGAAGCUGCCAAGUACCGCUACCACUCUGGGGAUCUUUUUAACUGUGGAAGCCUCACUAUCUGGGCACCUUAGGGCUGUGUUGGCCACGGGGCUCUCUAUCAUUCUCAGAGUUCUGAGGCUUUUUUUGCUCAUUGCCCAGGAAUCAAGGUGGUUGUACACAGAAGCCCUUUCCAUGCCAAGGGGCUUCUUCUGUCAUGCAUAGAGGAUAAAAAUCCUUGUAUAUUUUUUGAACCUAAAAUACUUUACAGGGCAGCAG